Molecule: ribosomal RNA, 158 nt
Filed under: uncultured bacterium
Lineage: Bacteria
Description: partial 16S ribosomal RNA
Rfam family: Bacterial small subunit ribosomal RNA
Source: RNAcentral
UGAGGAAUAUUGGUCAAUGGGCUUACGCCUGAACCAGCCAAGUCGCGUGAGGGAAGACUGCCCUAUGGGUUGUAAACCUCUUUUGUCAGGGAGCAACAACAUAUACGAGUAGGUGUUACGAGAGUACCUGAAGAAAAAGCAUCGGCUAACUCCGUGCC